AGGUGAAAGAUUGCGCAUCUGUGUUUCUUCUGCAAGACACGCAAGCACCAGUGUCACCCGAAUGCGUUGCACGCACCACGCCAAGACCACUGCUGUCCCGCUGCUGGCGGUAGCGCUGCUGCUGCUGCUGGGGGGAGCCGCACAUACUGCCGCCGCGGCCGAGGCGUCGCGGGUGGUAGAGCUGACCCGUGACACGUUCGAUGCGUACGUUGGCGGGCCCGACACGUAUACGUUUGUGCUGUACUGCGUCACGUGGUCUCGUCAGUGCAAGACGGCGAUUCAGCUGUGGGAUCGCUUGUCGAUCAGUCAGUCGCAGAAGGAGCUGCGGGAUGUCUUCACCGCCGCGUACGUAGACGGCGACAAGUACCCGGACUUGGUCAAGCGGAUGAAUGUGAAGGGGUUUCCGACGAUGCUGUUCUACACCCCCCUGCACACGGAGGGGCUCGAGUACAACGGCCCUCGCGAGUCGUACCUUCUGGACAGCUUUGUGUUUCAGUUCUCGUAGGGCCGGAGCGUGUAUCCGCGCGCGCAUGCGUGGGCGCGUGCGUUGAGGGAUUCAUGGCCGGGCUAUCCCUAUCGUGCUUCAGCACACGACGCGGGCGCAUCCACACGCACAUCACGCGCGUGUGGCGAAGGUAGUCUGCUGGCGCGUCAGAUAUGGAUCAUUGUAUGCGUGCGGGCCGAG
RNAcentral lists this unclassified non-coding RNA (685 nucleotides) under Leishmania donovani. RNAcentral's name for it is "gene:LdHU3.06.1380(CDS-product:Thioredoxin_putati ve)". Lineage: Eukaryota; Euglenozoa; Kinetoplastea; Trypanosomatida; Trypanosomatidae. The record is from RNAcentral.